GUGGCGUUAAGAUGAUUGAGUGGUCACACCAUGGUCACAGAAAGCCUCGCAACCCGCAUUAAUACUGACUAUGCCUUACCCCUCCUAAGGGGAAGGUCGUACGUUCGAAUCGUAUCGGGGGCACCA
Molecule: transfer RNA, 126 nt
Filed under: Dyella jiangningensis
Lineage: Bacteria; Pseudomonadati; Pseudomonadota; Gammaproteobacteria; Lysobacterales; Rhodanobacteraceae
Description: tRNA-Arg (CCT) (tRNA-Arg-CCT-2-1)
Source: RNAcentral